GGAAGCGUGCCCGAAAACUAAGGACCUCCUUGAUAAGGAGGUUUAUAGGGGUUUAAACCCCCUCACUUCCC
This 71-nucleotide transfer RNA is filed under the name Amolops chunganensis (Chungan torrent frog). RNAcentral's name for it is "tRNA-Ile". It matches the Rfam family "tRNA". Rfam says of the family: Transfer RNA (tRNA) molecules are approximately 80 nucleotides in length. Their secondary structure includes four short double-helical elements and three loops (D, anti-codon, and T loops). The record is from RNAcentral. Lineage: Eukaryota; Metazoa; Chordata; Amphibia; Anura; Ranidae.